AAAGAGAAGAAAAUAUAACUAGGGAGAAGUGAAUGUAACUAGGUAAAAAAUAAUUACCAGGAAACAAUGGAUAUUCUCGAAUAAUCAUCGUCGGUGUAAAUUUCAUGGGCGCACGUGACACGAUUCGACGCAUAAACCGACGCGCGCAUAACCGAACCGGAAAUGGCGCAUUGUGCGGUAUAUCCCUGUGCCGAGAUAUCUGCGAUUCUGGGGUUGGAAGGCAUUCGAACGCCGCGUAUGCAGGUGAUUGCGCCCGCCUGUGCAAUGCGACUCGAACCAGGCAUUUCGAUAUUAGAAUAGCAAUGAGUUAAUAAAGGAGCGUUUCCAAGAUGUUUGUGCGAACGCGAGAAAAUCCCGAUUUUUCAUCGCUUCGAAGCUUGGAUGUAUGGAUUGA
This is a long non-coding RNA of Apis florea (little honeybee), 394 nucleotides long. The record is from RefSeq and is a predicted model, not a curated record. NCBI's taxonomy places the organism in Eukaryota, Metazoa, Arthropoda, Insecta, Hymenoptera, Apidae.